RNAcentral lists this ribosomal RNA (245 nucleotides) under uncultured bacterium. RNAcentral's name for it is "partial 16S ribosomal RNA". It matches the Rfam family "Bacterial small subunit ribosomal RNA", at positions 524 to 768 of the family's 1533-position model. The record is from RNAcentral.
UACGAAGGGUGCGAGCGUUAUUCGGAGUUACUGGGCGUAAAGAGCAUGUAGGCGGUUUGUUAAGUUAGUUGUUAAAUUCCAUGGCUUAACUGUGGAUCUGCAACUGAUACUGAUGAGCUAGAGUAUAGAAGAGAGAAGUGGAAUUCCCGGAGUAGCGGUAAAAUGCGUAGAUCUCGGGAGGAACACCGGUUGCGAAGGCGGCUUCUUGGUCUAUUACUGACGCUAAAGUGCGAAAGCGUGGGGAG